RNAcentral lists this transfer RNA (66 nucleotides) under Gametis jucunda. RNAcentral's name for it is "tRNA-His". The record is from RNAcentral. Lineage: Eukaryota; Metazoa; Arthropoda; Insecta; Coleoptera; Scarabaeidae.
ACUUAAAUAGUUUAAUAAAAAAUAUUGAUUUGUGAUAUCAAAGUUAUAAUAAAGUUAUUUUAGGUA